RNAcentral lists this ribosomal RNA (301 nucleotides) under uncultured bacterium. Its description in RNAcentral is "partial 16S ribosomal RNA". It matches the Rfam family "Bacterial small subunit ribosomal RNA", at positions 512 to 809 of the family's 1533-position model. The record is from RNAcentral.
CAUAGCCGCGGUAAUACAGAGGGUGCGAGCGUUAAUCGGAUUUACUGGGCGUAAAGCGUGCGUAGGCGGCUUCUUAAGUCGGAUGUGAAAUCCCUGAGCUUAACUUAGGAAUUGCAUUCGAUACUGGGAAGCUAGAGUAUGGGAGAGGAUGGUAGAAUUCAAGGUGUAGCGGUGAAAUGCGUAGAGAUCUGGAGGAAUACCGAUGGCGAAGGCAGCCAUCUGGCCUAAUACUGACGCUGAGGUACGAAAGCAUGGGGAGCAAACAGGAUUAGAUACCCCGGUAGUCCCUGUCUCUAUACAC